UUCAAUCUGAAUCUGAUUUUUGAAUGGAGAAGGUUGUGGAUCUUAAUGGAUGGAAGUUACUAGCCGAGAAGGCAAGGCUUAAUUGAGUGACGGCGGCGGCGGAUGAAGGCUUCUCCGGCGAUCAGAGGAUGACCUGAACUACGGCGAGGAUGUUUCGCCGGGCGAACAGGCCCCAUCCGUGUAUUGCAGAUCUGCCAAAGCAGACUUUGUCCUUUUCGGUUCUCUGGAUUAGCAGAAAAGCGUUGACAAGGUGAGCGAUUAAGUUAAGCAGCAGAAAUCAAUAGCGCCGAACAGAUAUUACCUGCAAAUGAUGAAGCCGUUCUCUAAACGUGGAGAAGUCCUUCGGCUUUUCUAACUUCUGUUUCAGACAGGAAAGGCGUAAGCGACUUACUCGAAGACAUGGAUAAUCUAAGGGUGUGUUUGUUUGGGGGUUUGGAUUUUGAGUUGGGAUUUGAAUAGUAAAAAUUUUGUAUUUGAAUAGUAAAAAUUUUGUAUUUGAAUAGUUGUAUGAUGUGAUAUAAAUAGGUGGUGAUGUGAUGUUUUGAAUGUACAAUUAAUUUUUAGUAUAAUAUAAAAAAUAAAAAAUAGGUGUUUGAUUUGAUGUUUUUAGGAGGAAAAAAAUAGGAUGAAUAGUGAAUUAGAAAUCCAAUCCCCAAACAAACACGCCCUAAACAGAUUAAAAGGGCGUGGGCGUACCCGAUUUAUAUUCAAGCUUUGUAUUCUGCCCAUGGAAUGAUGCCGAGGUCCCAUGAUCUGGUGCACGACGGCUUCUUUUCCAAUCUACGACGCAAUCAAGAACAAAUCGGACGGCAUCUAGCAGCGGAGAACGGAUCGACUUCAUCUGCAUCGACAGGCGGUUCCUCGAGCUUCAACCGGUUAGUCGAGAUUAGCCUCGCGCCCGUGUGGCGUUUGCUUUGGAUAAGGCUUUUAGCCAAGAUAG
Molecule: long non-coding RNA, 940 nt
Organism: Andrographis paniculata
Lineage: Eukaryota; Viridiplantae; Streptophyta; Magnoliopsida; Lamiales; Acanthaceae
Exons: 3
Source: RefSeq, a predicted model, not a curated record